GAUGAACGCUGGCGGCGUGCCUAGUACAUGCAAGUCGAGCGAACAGAUGAGGAGCUUGCUCCUCUGACGUUAGCGGCGGACGGGUGAGUAACACGUGGAUAACCUACCUAUAAGACUGGGAUAACUUCGGGAAACCGGAGCUAAUACCGGAUAAUAUAUUGAACCGCAUGGUUCAAUAGUGAAAGACGGUUUUGCUGUCACUUAUAGAUGGAUCCGCGCCGCAUUAGCUAGUUGGUAAGGUAACGGCUUACCAAGGCAACGAUGCGUAGCCGACCUGAGAGGGUGAUCGGCCACACUGGAACUGAGACACGGUCCAGACUCCUACGGGAGGCAGCAGUAGGGAAUCUUCCGCAAAGGGCGAAAGCCUGACGGAGCAACGCCGCGUGAGUGAUGAAGGUCUUCGGAUCGUAAAACUCUGUUAUUAGGGAAGAACAAAUGUGUAAGUAACUAUGCACGUCUUGACGGUACCUAAUCAGAAAGCCACGGCUAACUACGUG
RNAcentral lists this ribosomal RNA (497 nucleotides) under uncultured bacterium. Its description in RNAcentral is "partial 16S ribosomal RNA". It matches the Rfam family "Bacterial small subunit ribosomal RNA", at positions 28 to 507 of the family's 1533-position model. The record is from RNAcentral.